GAACUACCAUCUGUCAUAGUCUUAGCCUUGGGUAAGGCUAAGACCUCAUAGAUGCAGCAUGCAUUAGCCCCAUACACAACCCUUGCCCAAGGUUUGUACUUCGUCAGAACUAGGAAAACACAACUAACUCUUGGGCACAGUUUGUAACUAAGAUGACACUUAAAUUUAAAAGACUCGCAUGCAACAGAAACAAGCCUUGCCCGAGGCUUACAUCUUGACCUGCAGUAUGCUUAAAGAAAAGGCAUGCUUUUUGAAAUUUAAGAAGAUAUCCUCUCUGUCGUGAUCUAAAGGCCAAAUAUUAUGAGGAA
This 308-nucleotide long non-coding RNA is filed under the name Carica papaya (papaya). Its description in RNAcentral is "long non-coding RNA (CPAP_LNC005894)". Lineage: Eukaryota; Viridiplantae; Streptophyta; Magnoliopsida; Brassicales; Caricaceae. The record is from RNAcentral.